GAUCAUUAAAGAGUAAGGGUGCUCAGCGCCCGACCUCCAACCCUUUGUUGUUAAAACUACCUUGUUGCUUUGGCGGGACCGCUCGGUCUCGAGCCGCUGGGGAUUCGUCCCAGGCGAGCGCCCGCCAGAGUUAAACCAAACUCUUGUUAUUAAACCGGUCGUCUGAGUUAAAAUUUUGAAUAAAUCAAAACUUUCAACAACGGAUCUCUUGGUUCUCGCAUCGAUGAAGAACGCAGCGAAAUGCGAUAAGUAAUGUGAAUUGCAGAAUUCAGUGAAUCAUCGAAUCUUUGAACGCACAUUGCGCCCCUUGGUAUUCCGAGGGGCAUGCCUGUUCGAGCGUCAUUACACCACUCAAGCUAUGCUUGGUAUUGGGUGCCGUCCUUAGUUGGGCGCGCCUUAAAGACCUCGGCGAGGCCUCACCGGCUUUAGGCGUAGUAGAAUUUAUUCGAACGUCUGUCAAAGGAGAGGACUUCUGCCGACUGAAACCUUUAUUUUUCUAGGUUGACCUCGGAUCAGGUAGGGAUACCCGCUGAACUUAAGCAUAUCAAUAAGCGGAGGAAAAGAAACCAACAGGGAUUGCCCUAGUAACGGCGAGUGAAGCGGCAACAGCUCAAAUUUGAAAGCUGGCCUUCGGGUCCGCAUUGUAAUUUGUAGAGGAUGCUUUGGGUGAAACGCCAGUCUAAGUUCCUUGGAACAGGACGUCAUAGAGGGUGAGAAUCCCGUAUGUGACUGGAAAUGUUAACCUAUGUAAAGCUCCUUCGACGAGUCGAGUUGUUUGGGAAUGCAGCUCUAAAUGGGAGGUAAAUUUCUUCUAAAGCUAAAUAUUGGCGAGAGACCGAUAGCGCACAAGUAGAGUGAUCGAAAGAUGAAAAGCACUUUGGAAAGAGAGUUAAAAAGCACGUGAAAUUGUUGAAAGGGAAGCGCUUGCAAUCAGACUUGUUUAAACUGUUCGGCCGGUCUUCUGACCGGUUUACUCAGUUUGGACAGGCCAGCAUCAGUUUCGGCGGCCGGAUAAAGGCUCUGGGAAUGUGGCCUUCACUUCGGUGAAGGUGUUAUAGCCCAGGGUGUAAUACGGCCAGCCGGGACUGAGGUCCGCGCU
This 1099-nucleotide ribosomal RNA is filed under the name Dothideomycetes sp. genotype 128. RNAcentral's name for it is "eukaryotic LSU rRNA". The stretch from base 503 to 1099 matches the Rfam family "Eukaryotic large subunit ribosomal RNA", at positions 1 to 606 of the family's 3401-position model. The record is from RNAcentral. Lineage: Eukaryota; Fungi; Ascomycota; Dothideomycetes.